CUUGACUUCCUGUUAGCUACUUCAUGACUGAAAGACUGCAUGGCUGUUCGUUGCCUAUCUGAAUUCCAAUUUAAUUACCAUCCAUAGGAGAGCGCGAUCGACAGACGGCUGCCGCUGAUCAGACAGCCAAUUUAGAGACCCACUCAUUGACUCAACGGUCAGGUUUUUUUGCCAGAUUCAUUCCAGUGACGCACAUGGAUCGGAAGUCACGGCCGACCUGGAGUUGAAGCUUUCCGGUUGAAUUGGGAUUGGAUGUUCGUACCCUGAAACCCCCGAAAGAUUCCCAGCUUACGUUGGGUGGCGAGCCACGGACCCACGAGCAUAAGUCAAUGCGCAGUCUCACUUUCCCUUCUUCACGGAUUGUGUGGUAGUAUCCACGAGCACUGGCAUACUGAUACUGUCACGACACUGAUUCAACCAAAGAAAAAAAGGGCCCCAACGAGCAAUAAGACUAUAUUUGGAACUGGGUUUUAUUUCUUUUGUUUUAAGGGAAACUUAUGCCGGCUUUAUUAUUUUCUUAUUUCUUUAUGUACAUUCUCUGAACUAAAUUGUUACACUGUUGUUAUUGUUCCUGUUGUUAAACAAAGAGUGAUCACAAUAACGCAAA
Long non-coding RNA from Carassius auratus (goldfish), 607 nucleotides. RefSeq lists it as uncharacterized. The transcript has 3 exons. The record is from RefSeq and is a predicted model, not a curated record. NCBI's taxonomy places the organism in Eukaryota, Metazoa, Chordata, Actinopteri, Cypriniformes, Cyprinidae.